ACGCUGGCGGCAGGCCUAACACAUGCAAGUCGAGCGGAAACGACACUAACAAUCCUUCGGGUGCGUUAAUGGGCGUCGAGCGGCGGACGGGUGAGUAAUGCCUAGGAAAUUGCCUUGAUGUGGGGGAUAACCAUUGGAAACGAUGGCUAAUACCGCAUAAUGCCUACGGGCCAAAGAGGGGGAYCUUCGGRCCUCUCGCGUCAAGAUAUGCCUAGGUGGGAUUAGCUAGUUGGUGAGGUAAUGGCUCACCAAGGCGACGAUCCCUAGCUGGUCUGAGAGGAUGAUCAGCCACACUGGAACUGAGACACGGUCCAGACUCCUACGGGAGGCAGCAGUGGGGAAUAUUGCACAAUGGGCGAAAGCCUGAUGCAGCCAUGCCGCGUGUAUGAAGAAGGCCUUCGGGUUGUAAAGUACUUUCAGUUGUGAGGAAGGGKGURKUGUUAAUAGCGNUAUCUCUUGACGUUAGCAACAGAAGAAGCACCGGCUAACUCCGUGCCAGCAGCCGCGGUAAUACGGAGGGUGCGAGCGUUAAUCGGAAUUACUGGGCGUAAAGCGCAUGCAGGUGGUUCAUUAAGUCAGAUGUGAAAGCCCGGGGCUCAACCUCGGAACUGCAUUUGAAACUGGUGAACUAGAGUACUGUAGAGGGGGGUAGAAUUUCAGGUGUAGCGGUGAAAUGCGUAGAGAUCUGAAGGAAUACCAGUGGCGAAGGCGGCCCCCUGGACA
RNAcentral lists this ribosomal RNA (723 nucleotides) under Vibrio sp. 1D02. Its description in RNAcentral is "bacterial SSU rRNA". It matches the Rfam family "Bacterial small subunit ribosomal RNA", at positions 33 to 735 of the family's 1533-position model. The record is from RNAcentral. Lineage: Bacteria; Pseudomonadati; Pseudomonadota; Gammaproteobacteria; Vibrionales; Vibrionaceae.